AGUGAACGCUGGCGGUAGGCCUAACACAUGCAAGUCGAACGGCAGCACAGUAAGAGCUUGCUCUUACGGGUGGCGAGUGGCGGACGGGUGAGGAAUACAUCGGAAUCUACUUUUUCGUGGGGGAUAACGUAGGGAAACUUACGCUAAUACCGCAUACGACCUACGGGUGAAAGCAUGGGAUCUUCGGACCUUGCGCGAUUCAAUGAGCCGAUGUCGGAUUAGCUAGUUGGCGGGGUAAAGGCCCACCAAGGCGACGAUCCGUAGCUGGUCUGAGAGGAUGAUCAGCCACACUGGAACUGAGACACGGUCCAGACUCCUACGGGAGGCAGCAGUGGGGAAUAUUGGACAAUGGGCGCAAGCCUGAUCCAGCCAUACCGCGUGUGUGAAGAAGGCCUUCGGGUUGUAAAGCCCUUUUGUUGGGAAAGAAAAGCAGCAGGUUAAUACCCCGCUGUUCUGACGGUACCCAAAGAAUAAGCACCGGCUAACUUCGUG
This 492-nucleotide ribosomal RNA is filed under the name uncultured bacterium. RNAcentral's name for it is "partial 16S ribosomal RNA". It matches the Rfam family "Bacterial small subunit ribosomal RNA", at positions 29 to 507 of the family's 1533-position model. The record is from RNAcentral.